This 698-nucleotide long non-coding RNA is filed under the name Capra hircus (goat). RNAcentral's name for it is "lncRNA (ENSCHIG00010015291.1)". Lineage: Eukaryota; Metazoa; Chordata; Mammalia; Artiodactyla; Bovidae. The record is from RNAcentral.
AUGUGUAUAUUCCAGACUAGGGGUUUGGGGGGAUCAUAUUUUGGGGAUCACCUUACAUUUAAUAUAUGCUCUCUGAUUAAAAUGUUCCAAAACACAAACCCUGACCCACUCAUAAAACUGUCUACUCUCUAUUUUCAAGAUAACUCCUUCUUUAAAAGGAAGAGAAUUUCUUUUCAUGUGGACUAUAAGAAAUACAACACUGAGAGUCAGAAAGCUUGGAUUCCAAAGAUGAUUGCAACGAGAUUGGAUCAUAUGAUUCUGAAAUCCUGUGAUCUUCUAAGAAAUAUGAUCAGUGAAUCCAGAUUUGAGAGAAUUGACCACAUGUGAGAGCAACUGCUUGGAUCAUGAUCUCAGCUCCCAGCUGACCAGCACUUCCUAUCACAUACCCUGCAUCUGGGCCUCCACAGAAAGCACUGGAAAUGCUAAGUGUUCAAAACUUGGACUAUAUGGGUCAACGCUUUGAAUUUUUAAGUUUCUAAAUUCAUAACUAGAACUUCCUAGAAGAAUUUUAUUCCAGGCAUUAGUACUAGGAAAAAUCAGUGUUCAUCCUUACUUGAAGGAGAAACGAUGUUACUCUUCACUGCUAGUGGGUUGGGAGCUCUAAUCCCAGUCAGUGUGCUGACUGACUAGGACCUCGUCAUGAGCUUCUGUGUGUGUCCUAACUUUACACUUGCAACUAUCUUGGUAGCCAGUUCUUA